Echinops telfairi (small Madagascar hedgehog) is the source of this 1422-nucleotide long non-coding RNA. RefSeq lists it as uncharacterized. The record is from RefSeq and is a predicted model, not a curated record. Lineage: Eukaryota; Metazoa; Chordata; Mammalia; Afrosoricida; Tenrecidae. The transcript has 2 exons.
CUUUCUCCUGCAGAGCAGCUUGGGGUUCAGACAGCUGACCUUCCAGUUAGCAGCCAGCACCCCCAGGACUCCUUUCAACCCUGCUAAAACGCCACCACCCAAUGCCACAGAGCUGAUUCUGACUCAGCAACCCUGCAGGACAGAGUGGACCAGCCCUGUGGGUUUCCGUAACGACUCUUCACCAGAGCACUCAGUAUACUUGGGCAGCACGAAUUAUGAGUUCUGCUUUUCUGGCUUCAGUUGAAUGAAGGAUAAGGGGGCUGAAAAAAGUUUUGGGAAAAUGGAACUAAAACAUACUGGAAGCACCAUCAUGUUGAAAAUAUUAAGUGAGUCCUAAAGGCACUUGACCAAUUUAACUUCUCUUUCAAAAUGAUGUGAAGCAUUGAAGUCUGGAAUGGAAACUACUAGUAUUCUUCCCAUGCAGGAGAAUUUAGUGUCCAAAGUCAUGUACCAUUUUGAAAGCAUAAGCGUGAUGCUUAUGUUGAUUUGUGUCAUAUGAUGUCUUGCAUUCACUUGCUGGAUAAAGAUUCAGGAUUUCAGUGGCUUCUGUGUUAAAUUCCACAAUCGUAUCCUAGUGCCACAUAUACUGCGCUGUUCUACUCGAAGAGGCACAGCAGCCUUGAUUGUCUUCUUUGAGUGGAAAUGAGAAAUUAGGAAAUAAAAGAUUAGGGCUACAGACUUAUUGGGGUUUGAACACCUAGCAUAUUCAGCAUCUUACUUCCCGGGCAUUGGAACUUGGUGUAUUUUUGAAUGAAUAAAGUGAUUAACUUUCUCUGAUUUGAGAAGUAGAUUUUCAUAUAUUACUGGCAUUUCCGACUAGUGGUUUGAAACACAAAAAUCUAUUUUCUUAGGGCAAGACUGUUUUUAUAGUUGAGCAUUACACGUUCCUGUCUUACCGUUGGGCCUAUAAAUGAAGAAGCGCUAAGCUGAUGCUUCACCUUGAAUAGCAUGAAUGAAAUGCUGCUUUAGCUUAGUUGAACCGGUUUGGAGUUACUUUUUUCGUUGUGCACCCGCCGGUAACAAAGGGCACGAAGGGCAUUCCUCUGUCACAUUGUGAUACUCUGUGUAGAAAUGCGUACGUUUUAAUUUUUUCAUAAGAAUAGCUUCUGAGAUUUCAUAUUUUAGUGUCAUGUUUGAUAUUUCAUUCCAUGAUCAUUUGUUCAUUCACAUGUAUUUUUAUUUUUAGCUUUAAGCGAAAGACAUGAGGCCUAAGACUGAAUGAGGUUGUUUUGAGGUCAUCCUCGUCCUGAACCACUUCAAACAGAAUGGUUUGCAAUUUUUUUUGGUGAUGGCAUGUUCAGAAUCUUGGAUCCCUAAGUUGAAUAUGUUGGAAAGAUUUAGGAACCCUGGAGACUGUUAUUUUCCUAUAUCUCAUGACUUACUAGGUGGAUGGAUCAGUAAUAAAAAGUAUAUGAAAGAACA